UACGUAGGGGGCAAGCGUUAUCCGGAUUUACUGGGUGUAAAGGGAGCGUAGACGGAACAGCAAGUCUGAGGUGAAAUGUAGGGGCUCAACUCCUGAACUGCCUUGGAAACUGUUGAUCUGGAGUACCGGAGGGGCAGGCGGAAUUCCUGGUGUAGCGGUGAAAUGCGUAGAUAUCAGGAAGAACACCGGUGGCGAAGGCGGCCUGCUGGACGGUAACUGACGUUGGGGCUCGAAAGCGUGGGGAGCAAAC
Molecule: ribosomal RNA, 250 nt
Filed under: uncultured prokaryote
Description: partial 16S ribosomal RNA
Rfam family: Bacterial small subunit ribosomal RNA
Source: RNAcentral